UACGGAGGGGGUUAGCGUUGUUCGGAAUUACUGGGCGUAAAGCGCACGUAGGCGGACUAUUAAGUCAGGGGUGAAAUCCCACGGCUCAACCGUGGAACUGCCUUUGAUACUGGUAGUCUAGAGUUCUGGAGAGGUGAGUGGAAUUCCGAGUGUAGAGGUGAAAUUCGUAGAUAUUCGGAGGAACACCAGUGGCGAAGGCGGCUCACUGGCCAGAUACUGACGCUGAGGUGCGAAAGCGUGCGGAGCAAACAGG
This 253-nucleotide unclassified non-coding RNA is filed under the name uncultured Rhodobacterales bacterium. RNAcentral's name for it is "contains 16S-23S intergenic spacer region". It matches the Rfam family "Bacterial small subunit ribosomal RNA", at positions 524 to 776 of the family's 1533-position model. The record is from RNAcentral. Lineage: Bacteria; Pseudomonadati; Pseudomonadota; Alphaproteobacteria; Rhodobacterales.